AAGGUAGCAUAAUCAAUAGUUUUUUAAUUGAAAGCUUGUAUGAAAGGUUGAAUGAAAAAAUAACUGUCUCUAUUUAAUUUUGUUAGAAUUUUAUUUUUAAGUAAAAAAGCUUAAAUUUUUAUGGAAGACGAGAAGACCCUAUAGAGUUUUAUAUAUGUAAUUAAUAUAUGAGUUAGAAAUAUAAAAAUUAUUAUUUAUUAUGUAUUUUGUUGGGGUGAUAAAAAAAUUAAAUAAACUUUUUUUUUAUAAAUACAAUUAUUUUUGGAUAUUUGAUCCUUUUUUAAAGACAAAAAGAAAAAAAUAC
This 304-nucleotide ribosomal RNA is filed under the name Cleopomiarus meridionalis. Its description in RNAcentral is "partial 16S ribosomal RNA". Lineage: Eukaryota; Metazoa; Arthropoda; Insecta; Coleoptera; Curculionidae. The record is from RNAcentral.